ACAUUGAUGAGACACUUCAGGUUCUGGUAAGUGCAGUAGAGAUGUUUGAACCCAUUUUUGGUGGAGUAUGUCCAGUCACAUGCCUUUGAGAUUGAUAUUCUGCAUUU
Molecule: long non-coding RNA, 107 nt
Organism: Amblyraja radiata (thorny skate)
Lineage: Eukaryota; Metazoa; Chordata; Chondrichthyes; Rajiformes; Rajidae
Exons: 3
Source: RefSeq, a predicted model, not a curated record